UACGAAGGGGGCUAGCGUUGCUCGGAAUUACUGGGCGUAAAGGGCGCGUAGGCGGACAGUUUAGUCAGAGGUGAAAGCCCAGGGCUCAACCUUGGAAUUGCCUUUGAUACUGACUGUCUUGAGUACGGGAGAGGUGUGUGGAACUCCGAGUGUAGAGGUGAAAUUCCUAGAUAUUCGGAAGAACACCAGUGGCGAAGGCGACACACUGGCCCGUUACUGACGCUGAGGCUCGAAAGCGUGGGGAGCAAACAGG
This 253-nucleotide ribosomal RNA is filed under the name uncultured bacterium. RNAcentral's name for it is "partial 16S ribosomal RNA". It matches the Rfam family "Bacterial small subunit ribosomal RNA", at positions 524 to 776 of the family's 1533-position model. The record is from RNAcentral.